UACGGAGGGUGCAAGCGUUGUCCGGAUUUAUUGGGUUUAAAGGGUGCGUAGGCGGCCCCUGUAAGUCAGUGGCGAAAUACGACAGCUCAACUGUCGAACUGCCAUUGAUACUGCAGGGGCUUGAGUACAGACGAGGUAGGCGGAAAUUGAUAGUGUAGCGGUGAAAAUGCAUAGAUACUAUCAAGAACACCGAUUGCGAAGGCAGCUUACUAGGCUGUAACUGACGCUGAGGCACGAAAAGUGUGGGGGAUCAAAACAGG
This 260-nucleotide ribosomal RNA is filed under the name uncultured bacterium. RNAcentral describes it as "partial 16S ribosomal RNA". It matches the Rfam family "Bacterial small subunit ribosomal RNA", at positions 524 to 776 of the family's 1533-position model. The record is from RNAcentral.